This 232-nucleotide long non-coding RNA is filed under the name Vigna radiata. Its description in RNAcentral is "long non-coding RNA (VRAD_LNC002573)". Lineage: Eukaryota; Viridiplantae; Streptophyta; Magnoliopsida; Fabales; Fabaceae. The record is from RNAcentral.
GUGUGGUUCCCGAAUGCAGAGCCACCGGAGUGGCUCGACGGAAGCUUGAUCGGCGACCGCGGGUUCGAUCCGUUCGGGUUCUCAAAGCCCGCGGAGUACCUGCAGUUUGACCUGGACUCGCUGGAUCAGAACCUUGCGAAGAACGUCGCCGGCGAAAUCAUCGGAACAAGGGUGGAGGUUGCAGAGGUCAAACCGACGCCGUUUCAGCCAUACACGGAGGUUUUCGGGAUUC